UUCCCAGCUCUUAAACAACGCGGCUUGCUUUCAAAACAUGCUGAUUUUUCGUGACAUACGCCUUCUUAAUCGGAUUUCGCUAAACCGUGUUUCGGAAACUUCCGCAAAUUACGAACAAGAUUGUCGGACGUGUUUUAAGUAAACCUCAACCUCUUCGCCUAUAAAUCGAAGCACUUGGCUCCUGUGAUCGUUACAUCCCCAUCGCUCACUCCACUCUCGAAAACACCUUCCGAAUAUCCUUGCACAUUGCCGGAGAUCGAAGCUCGCCGGAGACGAAGACGACGUCGGAACUCGGUCCAGGCUCAAAUCGUCUUGAUCGGAUAAUCUUCGUUGGUCCAAGUUUCUCAAUCUUUACUCGUGCAUUAU
This 366-nucleotide long non-coding RNA is filed under the name Helianthus annuus (common sunflower). RNAcentral describes it as "sRNA HanXRQr2_Chr14g0631241". The record is from RNAcentral. Lineage: Eukaryota; Viridiplantae; Streptophyta; Magnoliopsida; Asterales; Asteraceae.